This 715-nucleotide long non-coding RNA is filed under the name Ananas comosus (pineapple). Its description in RNAcentral is "long non-coding RNA (ACOM_LNC042336)". The record is from RNAcentral. Lineage: Eukaryota; Viridiplantae; Streptophyta; Magnoliopsida; Poales; Bromeliaceae.
UUGUUGAGCCUUGGGUGGACAGGGGAGGCUCUGUCCGUUCGGCGUCUGUUUGAUGCUCUCGAACCGGCCAAAAGGAUCGGGCUCGGGGCGUGACAGAUAAGAUGGUAUCAGAGCAUAAAAUUAGCCAAAAGUGAAAGCAUAGGAUGAACCUAGAGGCUCUUAGGAAUGAAAAACCUUAAGGAUCUAGAAAACGUGAGUGGCAUGCAAUUGGAAAUUUAUGGAUCUUGGUAUUGGAUUUAUGCAUCAUGGUUUUCUACCCCUCGAGAUAGUCGAUUUUCAGAAUGAGGUUUUCGAGUGGGAAACAAUUUAAAAGAUUUUCGAAUAGUUUUAUGGAUGAUUAAAUAGAGUUUAAAAUCAAAGCUUCCGGAUGGGGAGCAUUUUUAAAUAGGAUGACUGUUGUACUGUGCAUCACAUUAUCUAACGCCUAAGAAGUAUUUAGAGGUAUACAUUAUCUCUAAGGAUCAAUAGCUAUAUGGAAAUGCAUCGCAUGGAUUGUUUGUGGAUUUGUGAAUGUAGACUGUGGUUGUGAUCCUGAUGUAGCUGUUGGUACGUUGUGCAAAUACAAAUGAGACUCUAUCCAAGUGGACAGAGGAACUUUGUAUUUGUGGUGGGUCUGUACAUCACGUGGGCCAGGUUGAAUUAAAAAAAAAAGGCACGUUUUCCAUAACUCUGAUCUCAAAAAUAGUAUUCAUUAUAAAAAAAACUUUUAAAAUCG